Molecule: long non-coding RNA, 745 nt
Filed under: Numida meleagris (helmeted guineafowl)
Lineage: Eukaryota; Metazoa; Chordata; Aves; Galliformes; Numididae
Description: lncRNA (ENSNMEG00000017584.1)
Source: RNAcentral
UGAGGGGCAGGGAAAGGGUUUCUGAGCAACGCAGUGUAGCAACCCAAAUUAGCAGUGAGGGCCUUCAGGCUGCGAGCCGAGCUCUCGCAUCCGCCCAUCCUGGACUCUUCCCUAUUGUCAGCUCUGUGGCUCCUCUCUGUCUGCUGCUAUUGUGCACUUCUAUAUUUAAUGUAAGAUUUCUGUCUGCGGCAGAGGGCAUUUUCUGAGGUAAAGUUAAAUACAUGGCAAAACCUUCAGAAACAGAGCCUUGAAAACUUAAUUGCUCUAUCCUGAUUGCUUGUGUUAUUAUUCAAAAAGAUAGCUGAAUGAAGGUCAGCUCUCAAAUAGAUUUGAAUUUUGAUGGUGCUGUGAAUGAACUAUCUCCUAGUCCCAGAAAGCUGCAAAAUGAGAUCUUUGGUACUGUAGAGCAAGGCUUUGUAGAAUCCCAGUGAUGUCUGAAUCCCUGAAACUUCUGCCACAUGGAAGGACAGCUUGCAGUCACUGAGGAGUACAGCUGUAGAAGGAGCUUCUCCUGCAGCCACCUUGGGAUGAACGAUGGUGAUGCUGUCCUCCGUGCUGAUUUCCCUCUGUCCUUUCUCAUGGAGCUGUUAAGCCCUGACUGUGCUGAGUCAGGAGGUUCUUGGCUGCCCUGAUAAAUCCUCCUGUUGACAGCGGUAACCUAUUGCAGUAAGCACAACAGGAAUAACUAGGCCUGAAGUCAAGUUAGAGCAGGGACAGGCUUUAGAGACAUAAACAGACUCCUCUG